AAAGGAAUAGACGGGGGCCCGCACAAGCGGUGGAGCAUGUGGUUCAAUUCGACGCAACGCGAAGAACCUUACCGGGGUUUGAACUGCACGGGACAGCUGUAGAGAUACAGUUUUCCUUCGGGACCCGUGUAGAGGUGCUGCAUGGCUGUCGUCAGCUCGUGUCGUGAGAUGUUGGGUUAAGUCCCGCAACGAGCGCAACCCUCGCCUCCUGUUGCCAACAGAUAAUGCUGGGCACUCUGGAGAGACUGCCGGUGACAAACCGGAGGAAGGUGGGGAUGACGUCAAGUCCUCAUGGCCUUUAUGCCCCGGGCUACACACGUGCUACAAUGGUCGGUACAAAGGGUUGCAAUACCGUGAGGUGGAGCUAAUCCCAAAAAACCGAUCCCAGUUCGGAUUGGAGUCUGCAACUCGACUCCAUGAAGCUGGAAUCGCUAGUAAUCGCGGAUCAGAAUGCCGCGGUGAAUACGUUCCCGGGCCUUGUACACACCGCCCGU
RNAcentral lists this ribosomal RNA (494 nucleotides) under uncultured bacterium. RNAcentral describes it as "bacterial SSU rRNA". It matches the Rfam family "Bacterial small subunit ribosomal RNA", at positions 903 to 1397 of the family's 1533-position model. The record is from RNAcentral.